UACGUAGGGUGCAAGCGUUGUCCGGAAUUAUUGGGCGUAAAGAGCUCGUAGGCGGUUUGUCGCGUCGGGAGUGAAAACACUGGGCUUAACUCAGUGCUGGCUUUCGAUACGGGCAGACUAGAGGUAUGCAGGGGAGAACGGAAUUCCUGGUGUAGCGGUGAAAUGCGCAGAUAUCAGGAGGAACACCGGUGGCGAAGGCGGUUCUCUGGGCAUUACCUGACGCUGAGGAGCGAAAGUGUGGGGAGCGAACAGG
This 253-nucleotide ribosomal RNA is filed under the name uncultured bacterium. RNAcentral describes it as "partial 16S ribosomal RNA". It matches the Rfam family "Bacterial small subunit ribosomal RNA", at positions 524 to 776 of the family's 1533-position model. The record is from RNAcentral.